AAUUGACGGGGACCCGCACAAGCGGUGGAUGAUGUGGUUUAAUUCGAUGCAACGCGAAAAACCUUACCCACCUUUGACAUGUACGGAACUUGCCAGAGAUGGCUUGGUGCUCGAAAGAGAACCGUAACACAGGUGCUGCAUGGCUGUCGUCAGCUCGUGUCGUGAGAUGUUGGGUUAAGUCCCGCAACGAGCGCAACCCUUGCCAUUAGUUGCUACGAAAGGGCACUCUAAUGGGACUGCCGGUGACAAACCGGAGGAAGGUGGGGAUGACGUCAAGUCCUCAUGGCCCUUAUAGGUGGGGCUACACACGUCAUACAAUGGCUGGUACAGAGGGUUGCCAACCCGCGAGGGGGAGCCAAUCCCAUAAAGCCAGUCGUAGUCCGGAUCGCAGUCUGCAACUCGACUGCGUGAAGUCGGAAUCGCUAGUAAUCGCGGAUCAGAAUGUCGCGGUGAAUACGUUCCCGGGUCUUGUACACACCGCCCGUCACACCAUGGGAGCG
This 500-nucleotide ribosomal RNA is filed under the name uncultured bacterium. RNAcentral describes it as "bacterial SSU rRNA". It matches the Rfam family "Bacterial small subunit ribosomal RNA", at positions 908 to 1412 of the family's 1533-position model. The record is from RNAcentral.